This is a long non-coding RNA of Centropristis striata (black sea bass), 2278 nucleotides long. RefSeq lists it as uncharacterized. The record is from RefSeq and is a predicted model, not a curated record. The transcript has 2 exons. Lineage: Eukaryota; Metazoa; Chordata; Actinopteri; Perciformes; Serranidae.
CUCCUGCUUUCAGUGUCCUCCAUCUCUCCGCUGUCUCUCAUUUUCUUAUAUCGAGGACAUUCCUACUUCCAGAGACUGCUGCAGUUCCUCCUCCAUCUGUUGUUCUUGUAAUCUCUUCAGAGCUGUUGGAGAGUGAAGCAGCACAGAGCUGACCUUAUAAAGACUCCUCCAGACCAGACCACACCUCUGUCCCUGAGUCCAUGGAAGCCAAGGCUAAGUCCGGGGCUCCAGCACCCAAGUCAGCACCUAAAGCAGAGAAGAAGGAGCCGGCAGCCCCACGCAAGGCCGAGCCAGCCCCCGCAACCCCCGAGCCAGAGCAUCCUCCUCCCCAGGAUGGAGCAGCAGAAGCUGAAGCAGCAGCGGCAGGUGACGAGGCUGCGGCCUCUGGCACAGACUCUCUGGAACAGCUGAAACCCUUUCUCAUCGGCGGGGCCGUUAUUGCUGCAGGAGCCAUGUUGCUGGGAUUGUUGCUACUGGCGAGGAGAAAUUAAAACCAAAUUAUUAUCUCAAAUUAAAGUAUGUAUCGGUUGAUGAGUUAGUGCGUUGUUGCUGCGUGGUUCACAGACUAUUAUGGUUCAGAAGGGGGAUGGGGAGCCACUGUGCAUCUUUUAUUUUAUUUUUGUUUUUUUUUUAGCUUGCUUUCACUUGUAGUGAAUCAAACCAUUCAAGUUUUGAUAAAGGCUGUAUAUGGAGCAUAAUUACACAUAAUAUAUGCAUGAUGUUGCUUCGAUACUGCAUCUGAACUGUAAUCAUUUAUUUAAGAAAAACAAAAAAACUCACAUGGUAGAACUGAGCGAAGAAGCCUGAACUCUCCAAAGGUAGCUUGUUCAACUGCUUUAUCUUGUUUAAUCCAGUUUGCACAAAUAUUGGCUUACGCUUGCAACAUUUGUACAUUCUUGCACCAGAGAUCAGCUUGGUUCACUUUGCUAAAAGAUGAAAAACUGUAUUCACAAUGUUGCAACUUAUUGAUAAUAAUACUGGCUAUCUGAGUUAUUCUAGGUUUACUUACUUUUACUUUUAAAUAAGACAAUUGAAGGAGUAGACCUGAAAACAGAUUGAAAUAUGCAUUGUGAUGUAUUGCACAUAUUUUGGCGAAAUCAAUGCCGAAGUGAAGGGACUCAGUUCAGAGACACUGAAUUCCUGCAUAUCCAAAAAAUAAAGAACGGCACAGUGCAAUUUUAGAAAAAAAAUCAACAUUUUCAGAGGCAGAACAUAUAAGCAGGUAGUGGUUUAGGAUUGAGAUGUAGGGGGUUGUAGGAGACAAAAAAUAUGUACAGUAUGUGUCAGAGAAUAAUAGUGAAGUUACCUCUUGCUGUAGAAUAAGAAAGAGUUUUAUUUUACUGUCAGAUGAUGUCACAAAUCAAUAACCUUUCAUGUCUCACACAACAUCCACAGUCGUGCUGUUUCAACUUUACAGUAGAUACUUAGCUGUAGCAGGCUGGACAGCCAUUAGUGUUGCAUUAUCAGGUUUGAAGCCUGCUAUCAAAACAUGGGAGUUGUUGAUGUCUUCACUUUGCUCCCUUUAUGUGGCUUUAGGAAAAAAUUCACUCAUAACUGUGUACAACCAUAAUGUAACGAGAGCAGCCUGAAAGUGGCGUGUAGAUGAACUGUUGUAUAGUGUACUCAAAGGGGGGGAAAUCAUAUUUUCACAAUUUUGUUGCAGCAAACACUCACCUGUACAGCUGUACACAAUAGUGUCCACUCAUAUGUAAAGCUCAUGGGGAUGUCCCUGUUAUAUAAGUAGAUAGCUGAAAGAAAGUUCUAACACACACACAUCAUUAUUUGUUUUUAGCUGUAAAGGCACUCAUGCAUUUCAAAACAUUACUGACCAUAAAUAAUGUACAAACAUACCUCAUUCAAGGUCGACACCCCAAACACAUCCAAAAGAUGGUAUGCCAACACCAAAACAAACUUCACCUUACAUUGUACAAUACAGUGUACCAAAAAAAAGAGAAACCCUAUUUUCAUAAUUUCAACAGCGUAUAAAUGCAAUAAUUCAGAUAGGACUCCUCAUUUAGCACUUGUGCUGUAGCAAGUUGAAUUACAUAAUUAAUGAUGUAAUAAUUAGUUGGUGAUGAUGAUGAUGAUGUAUGUUAGUGAUGGCAAUGAUGGUGAUGUUACAGAUGAUGAUGACUGUAAUGAUGAUGACGGUUAUGAUAUAUUUUUGAUAUAUUUCUAACAUAUUUUCCUUAUGCACACUCCCCUCUGCCCCCAAACUCCUAAAUGUAAAAAAGGAAAGAGGUCUUGAUCCAAUCUUUAUUAAAGACAGUGAACCAAC